CAUCCUCCAAGGCUAAAUACUCCUGACUGACCGAUAGUGAACCAGUACCGUGAGGGAAAGGCGAAAAGAACCCCGGCGAGGGGAGUGAAAAAGAACCUGAAACCGUGUACGUACAAGCAGUGGGAGCACAGGUUUACCUGUGUGACUGCGUACCUUUUGUAUAAUGGGUCAGCGACUUAUAUUCUGUAGCAAGGUUAACCGAAUAGGGGAGCCGGAGGGAAACCGAGUCUUAAUUGGGCGUUAAGUUGCAGGGUAUAGACCCGAAACCCGGUGAUCUAGCCAUGGGCAGGUUGAAGGUUGGGUAACACUAACUGGAGGACCGAACCGACUAAUGUUGAAAAAUUAGCGGAUGACCUGUGGCUGGGGGUGAAAGGCCAAUCAAACCGGGAGAUAGCUGGUUCUCCCCGAAAGCUAUUUAGGUAGCGCCUCGUGAAUUCAUCUCCGGGGGUAGAGCACUGUUUCGGCUAGGGGGCCAUCCCGGCUUACCAACCCGAUGCAAACUGCGAAUACCGGAGAAUGUUAUCACGGGAGACACACGGCGGGUGCUAACGUCCGUCGUGAAGAGGGAAACAACCCAGACCGCCAGCUAAGGUCCCAAAGUCAUGGUUAAGUGGGAAACGAUGUGGGAAGGCCCAGACAGCCAGGAUGUUGGCUUAGAAGCAGCCAUCAUUUAAAGAAAGCGUAAUAGCUCACUGGUCGAGUCGGCCUGCGCGGAAGAUGUAACGGGGCUAAACCAUGCACCGAAGCUGCGGCAGCGACACUCAGGUGUUGUUGGGUAGGGGAGCGUUCUGUAAGCCUGCGAAGGUGGCCUGUGAGGGUUGCUGGAGGUAUCAGAAGUGCGAAUGCUGACAUAAGUAACGAUAAAGCGGGUGAAAAGCCCGCUCGCCGGAAGACCAAGGGUUCCUGUCCAACGUUAAUCGGGGCAGGGUGAGUCGACCCCUAAGGCGAGGCCGAAAGGCGUAGUCGAUGGGAAACGGGUUAAUAUUCCCGUACUUGGUGUUACUGCGAAGGGGGGACGGAGAAGGCUAUGUUGGCCGGGCGACGGUUGUCCCGGUUUAAGCGUGUAGGUGUGUGUUCCAGGUAAAUCCGGUUCACUUUAACACUGAGGCGUGAUGACGAGGCACUACGGUGCUGAAGCAACAAAUGCCCUGCUUCCAGGAAAAGCCUCUAAGCAUCAGGUAACAUCAAAUCGUACCCCAAACCGACACAGGUGGUCAGGUAGAGAAUACCAAGGCGCUUGA
Molecule: ribosomal RNA, 1241 nt
Filed under: Salmonella enterica subsp. enterica serovar Agona
Lineage: Bacteria; Pseudomonadati; Pseudomonadota; Gammaproteobacteria; Enterobacterales; Enterobacteriaceae
Description: partial 23S ribosomal RNA
Rfam family: Bacterial large subunit ribosomal RNA
Source: RNAcentral